This 1349-nucleotide long non-coding RNA is filed under the name Phasianus colchicus (ring-necked pheasant). Its description in RNAcentral is "lncRNA (ENSPCLG00000016364.1)". The record is from RNAcentral. Lineage: Eukaryota; Metazoa; Chordata; Aves; Galliformes; Phasianidae.
AGAGCAGUGACAAGGGCUGAAUGAUGUCUGAGGGUGGAAUAAAUGGCAUCAAUUUGUCCUCUUUUUCAUAAUACUGUUUUGCACUAAUAUCUCUAAAGAAACUUGUACAGAAGAAUAUAAUUUUGCUUUUAGAUGGCGGAGUCCUACUACAUUAGUUGAAUCUCCUGUGGAUAUGUUAUUAAGUGAUACAUAGAAAUUGCUCCAGAGCUAGAGAGAGCCAAACAAUGAAAUACUUUGCACUCUCCUUGGGUUGCAUUGUCAUUUAGAGUGAUCACUGAAGUGUGUUUAAAAGGAGUUGUUGUAGUACAUAUUGAAAAAUCAAUACAAAUGUUAGUUGUCUUGCAACAUUGUGCUUUGGGAUUGCAGUAGUUCGGAAUGGUUGAAAUCGAUGCGUUUUAAGAAAAUGGACUUGAUGUAGCAUAAAAUGUGUCUGCAGAGUUUGCUGUGACUUGGAGGGUUAGUUUGCGUUAGCUCUAUUGGGAAGCUGAGCUCUAUUUUAAUUUUCAUCAGUGCAGCAACCAGAACAAAACCACAAGCGAGUGGGAAAAGAAAAGGAGAAAUGAAUCUAUUUGCUCUCAUAUAUCAGUCACGAGAUACAUUAUUUACUAACCUGUAAUCAUCAGUGUCUGAAACAGAACUAAAAUGGAGUGGUUUUCACAGACAGUGCUGGGGAAAUAUCUUGGCUGGCUGAAAAUUUGUUAGCCUGAAUGGGACUAGAAAGAAGAAAACCCAUGCUAAUUCUUUAAACUGAAUUUUCAUGCUUUGCUCAUAGAAUGCAAAGGUGUUCCUUUACCUUCAGACUGGAAAUUUAAUGUGGAAUCCAAGAAAGAAGAUGCCCACAGAAGUCCCAGUCCUAGGUGCCAGUUUGCAUUUAUCUCAAGGAGACGAGACACCCUUUAAAGAAAAUCUGCAGCUCAGCCAGGACAUUCAGGUGCAAACACACCAGCCAGACUGUGGAGCAAGUGGACAGCCAGAAUAAAGACAGAUGGAGGGAGGUGAGCUUUGACCUUUCUCUAUGCAGCAUUGCAAGCUUCUCUCCAAACAGACUUUAACUCCCUAACACCUGAUUUCUAUAGGUUUUCAUAUAUUUUCAAAUCAUCAACUUGAUGCACCUGGUCCAGUUUUACUUAUGUUUGGUGAGUAUAAUAGUUUAUAUUUGAUGAGUGUAUUGGAACAUGAUUUCUGCUGUGUACUUCUGUGUUUUUCCAGAAUACCUCAAAGGGAUUUAAACAGGAGCCAGACACCUCUCAGCCACAGCAGCUCCUCCAACCUUCUUAGCAGCUGUUAGAUCUAUGUGACAAGUGAGAGCUUCUAAUAAAAAAGUCAUUUUAUUGCGUAUGUCUGAUUUG